AAUUUCUUUUAUUCUUUGUAUUUAUUAUGUUUUGUAAUUGUUUUGUAGUUUAUAUUGUCAAAUAUUUAAUUUUAUUGUGUGUUUCUUUAAAUUCUAACAUGUUUCGUAUUUUUUCUUAUUUGGUAAUAUUUUCUAAUUUUUUAAUCUUUCUUGCUUGUAAUAUUUUAAAUAUAAUAUAUACUUUUCAUAUUUCUUUCUUAGAAAAAUUAUUUUUUAUACUAGUUUUGUAAUAUAAUCAUUUAAUUAUUUGAUGUGUUAUAUAGUCGGAAAUUUCAUUUAUGUUAUGUAAUACUAAUAUUUUUUUAUCAUUGUUCUGUGUUCUAUUUUUUAUGUUCUAUAAUAUUAAUGUUCUGUAAUUUUUUAAAGGAAAAUAAAUAAACACACUAAACAACAUCUGAUAAUGCGGCAGUUAACAUUAGAUAACAGUUACAGCUCGUCAAAGUUGACCAUCCUGUGUCUAUACUACACCCUAUCUAUGCUAUACCCUAUCAUUCAACCGUUAAAUUUUUUUUAAUUCAACCAUCAUGAUUUAGUUACCAAGUUACUAGGGUAGUUUAGUUCCUCGUUGAACCAUCCCCUAUAUAUAUAUAUAUAUAUAU
Molecule: long non-coding RNA, 599 nt
Filed under: Daucus carota (carrot)
Lineage: Eukaryota; Viridiplantae; Streptophyta; Magnoliopsida; Apiales; Apiaceae
Description: long non-coding RNA (DCAR_LNC003944)
Source: RNAcentral